GACGUAGGUGGCAAGCGUUGUUCGGAAUCACUGGGCAUAAAGCGCACGUAGGCGGCUGAGUAAGUCGGAUGUGAAAUACCUCGGCUCAACCGAGGAACUGCGUCCGAUACUGCUCGGCUUGAGGUCCCGGAGGGAGAGUGGAAUUCCCGGUGGAGCGGUGAAAUGCGUAGAGAUCGGGAAGAACGCCGGCGGCGAAAGCGACUUCUCUGGUCGGAAUCUGACGCUGAGGUGCGAAAGCUAGGGGAGCAAACGGGAUUAGAUACCCGUGUAGU
RNAcentral lists this ribosomal RNA (272 nucleotides) under uncultured bacterium. RNAcentral describes it as "partial 16S ribosomal RNA". It matches the Rfam family "Bacterial small subunit ribosomal RNA", at positions 524 to 794 of the family's 1533-position model. The record is from RNAcentral.